AUUCCAGAUAGGAAAAAUGUUGUGAAUUUUUCCCAAAAGGCUCCAACAUCCACCAGGUAAUGAAUGGACUCUAGAGAGACUACUUUCCAGGUUCUCUACAGUCAAACACUAACUGGGACAUCCUCUUCUCCCUCCUAGGUGUCGCCUUCCUUCAUCUGACCCUCACAAGGCAUUUAUAUGUUACAUAUGCAAAUGCAUGGCACACCAGAUUGAGUUAAUGACCUAUCAUCAAACAAAUUCCACACACACUUCAACGGUUUCCAGUUUCUCAUACAAAAGGCACUGAGGAGCUUCCAGAGAG
This 301-nucleotide long non-coding RNA is filed under the name Ailuropoda melanoleuca (giant panda). RNAcentral describes it as "lncRNA (ENSAMEG00000025723.1)". The record is from RNAcentral. Lineage: Eukaryota; Metazoa; Chordata; Mammalia; Carnivora; Ursidae.